AUUGAACGCUGGCGGCAUGCCUUACACAUGCAAGUCGAACGGCAGCACGGGUGCUUGCACCUGGUGGCGAGUGGCGAACGGGUGAGUAAUACAUCGGAACAUGUCCUGUAGUGGGGGAUAGCCCGGCGAAAGCCGGAUUAAUACCGCAUACGAUCUACGGAUGAAAGCGGGGGACCUUCGGGCCUCGCGCUAUAGGGUUGGCCGAUGGCUGAUUAGCUAGUUGGUGGGGUAAAGGCCUACCAAGGCGACGAUCAGUAGCUGGUCUGAGAGGGCGACCAGCCACACUGGGACUGAGACACGACCCAGACUCCUACGGGAGGCAGCAGUGGGGAAUUUUGGACAAUGGGCGAAAGCCUGAUCCAGCAAUGCCGCGUGUGUGAAGAAGGCCUUCGGGUUGUAAAGCACUUUUGUCCGGAAAGAAAUCCUUGGCCCUAAUACGGUCGGGGGAUGACGGUACCGGAAGAAUAAGCACCGGCUAACUACGUG
Molecule: ribosomal RNA, 486 nt
Filed under: uncultured bacterium
Lineage: Bacteria
Description: partial 16S ribosomal RNA
Rfam family: Bacterial small subunit ribosomal RNA
Source: RNAcentral